GGUCUGGCUUUUUUCCCUGUUUUUACCAGGUCUCCAGAGGAAAGAUAAAGCAGCGUUUCUCCCCGAUUCAUCAGUCAAGCCACUGCUAAAAGCAACGGAGCGGUUGCCACCUUGGGCAAACGUCAGGCAGCACAGCGGAGCCCCAGGGCCGCCCUCCGCAUCGCGCAGAAAGCAACAGCCUGGCCCCUCUGCCCUGCCCAGCCCAACCCAGCCCAGCCCAGCCAGGCACCUGCGCCCGCCCUGCCCCCGUGCCCUGGCCGGCGCCUGUAUGCGGCAGCUCCUGCGCGGUACCUUUGUAUCGCUCCAGAACAUCCUCGUAGGCCUGCAGGUACUCCUGCUCCUCGGCGUGGAAGGAUGGGAUCAUCUAAGGCUGUACACAAAAGACAAUAUGGACUGAUUCUUCUUUCAGUUCCAGCAAAGUAAAUCUGAAGCAACUCUACUGAAGUCAAAAGUUCUUAUGAACCACUAUUGAACAAAAACAGCUGGCUCCAAACGAGAGGAGCUCUAUGUUAUCUGCAGACCAAAUAAACUCAGAAUAGUCAUGCCCAAUCCAGGAUGAUGAUGUUAGCUCAUAGCGCUGGGCAUUUAAACAGUGAAUGAAACAGAUUAUUGACAUUAAGGUGAUGAGCUUCCACUAGAGGCUGUGUUUCUUCAAGGCGAGGUGCUACACGUCUUCUAGCAUGACGAGGACUUGAUCUAAAACCCUGUGACAUAGGAAAAGCAACGGAUGAACAGUACCUGAAGCAGCGGGCUAUAAGAAGAGAAAAGACUUAUUCUUGCAUAUAAUACAUUAAACCAGGACACAGGAAAAGGUUUAACUCUGCCGUGGACUUCAUAGCUCAAGAAUGGCUGAGUCGCUGGAGAAUUAUGCAUCUUUUCUGGAUCUUCAGGCCGCUGAUUCCUAAACUAAGGUGGUGAUUCAUUUUUAACCCAGUACAAUUGAGAGACAAACCAAACCAAACACAAAACCUCAAUUGGAUGUCUAAAAAUAUAUUAAGAAAUGUUCUUCUACACAGUACUACACCAUCAGUUUUAUUCUACACAGCAAUACAGUUGCCAAGUAGCAUGAGAGACCACACCAUAAAUAUUCUUUCUUAAAAUUGCUGCAUCUUAAAAGUGUCCAACAGAGUCAGUACCAGAUGUUUCAGAAAAAGGCACAACCAUGAAUGUCACACCUUCCUGCCCUGAGCCUCUCACCUUCAUCCCUGCUAGUUACAGAUUUUGAUAAACCCUAAAUUAUGAGAUCAUAUAUUCUCUGUAAACAUCUUCCUAGGAUUAACUGUCAUAACCUUGGAUAGUCUUGUUAACUAUGUAAGUGCACAAGGCCUUUUUGAAUUAAUAUUCAUUUUGUUUAAAUUCCUGUGGCAAUAAGCUCCAUAUCUUCCUUUUAUGUUCUGUUAAAAAAAAUAUUUUCUUUAAUCAGUAUUGAAUUUUCCACCUGUCAGUUUCCUAUGAUACUGAUUUAUUCUUGGAUUAGGAUCCACGCAAAACAGAAGCUCUUGCUGCACCUUCACUAUCAUAUUUAUUAUUUGACAUACUUUUAAUGAAUUCCUUCUUACUUGUCUCCUUUCUAAAGUAUACAUCCAAUUCCUCUCAGUUUCUCAUCAUAAAAGAGCUUGCCCAUGUCCCUAAAACCAGUAGUUCUCAACCUUUUAAGACUCGACACCCCUCAUUCGAUUCAAGGCACCCCUCAGAAAAUGACAGCUCUUAACUUUCACUCAUUUUUUUGACUGUGGACAGAUAAUAUGAGCAUUCCUCUGUGGCAAAGAACUCAGAAAUACCACAACAGGUCAGACUAUUUUUGACACUAUCGAUUUCUAUUUGAAAUUUGUAGGAGUAGCUUGUGAAUCAUGUAUAGGUGUUUGCACACCUAACACUGCUAAUCUUAUGUGGCGGCCUGGCUGAAAAUUACUGCCCUAAGCAUUUCUUUUAUGCUUCUCACAACCCCUUCUAACUUAGCAGCAGCAUUUUUUAGAUGUGAUGCAUUGCAUAGGAGUCCAAGGCUGCACCAUUGAUUUAUAUAAUGGCAUUACCCUAUUUUCCAUCCUUUUGUAUUGUUCAUCCUGAUACUUAGGUCUCAGAAUUUAUUUUUCUUUUUGAGCUCAGGUCUUCAAUGAAUCGUAUAAAAUGAAUCCAAGGGCCCUUUCAUGAGAUGGCAGCAGCUAUUCAGACUUUCCCAGUAAUGUACGUUGAUUUGCAAUAUCAACUCUGAACUUCCUUUGUCAUUACAAUGCCAUUCAUUUAUCUUGAUAAAGAUCCCUUCAGUCUCUUCAGGGUCCAACUAACCCAGGGGUGGGCAAAAUGCGGCUCAUGGGCUGGAUGCGGCCCACUAAACCAUUCUAUCCGGUCCGCGGGACCCCUAAAAAAUUUAGAAAAUUUAUAUUUAUCUGCCCCUGGCUGCCUGUCAUGCGGCCUUUGAUGGCUUGCCAAAACUCAGUAAGUGACCCUCUGCCUGAAAUAAUUGCCUGCCCCUGAACUAACCUAAGCAUCUGUGUGUAACUUGAAAAUGCUGUUACCUCACUGGUUGUUCCUGUCUCUUUAAUAAAUAUAAACAUGAUUUAGGAUCUUGGAAGAAAGACUCAUAACAAUCUUCUUUCCUUUUCAUAUUAUUAUUUUCCAAAUCAAACAUUUUGAAUAAUACAUUGAACUUUUUUCUUUUUUCUUCUCCUCUCUACAUUUUCAUUAAUUAUUC
This is a long non-coding RNA of Alligator sinensis (Chinese alligator), 2692 nucleotides long. RefSeq lists it as uncharacterized. The transcript has 6 exons. Lineage: Eukaryota; Metazoa; Chordata; Crocodylia; Alligatoridae. The record is from RefSeq and is a predicted model, not a curated record.